AAAGCUCUUUCGGGUGGGACGAUGAUGACGGUACCACCAGAAGAAGCCCCGGCUAACUUCGUGCCAGCAGCCGCGGUAAUACGAAGGGGGCUAGCGUUGUUCGGAAUUACUGGGCGUAAAGCGCACGCAGGCGGCUCGAUAAAUUAGAAGUGAAAGCCUUGGGCUUAACCUGAGAAUUGCUUUUAAGACUGUCGAGCUAGAAUCCAGAAGAGGGUAGUGGAAUUCCGAGUGUAGAGGUGAAAUUCGUAGAUAUUCGGAAGAACACCAGUGGCGAAGGCGACUACCUGGUCUGGCAUUGACGCUCAUGUGCGAAAGCGUGGGGAGCAAACAGGAUUAGAUACCCUGGUAGUCCACGCCGUAAACGAUGGGUGCUAGUUGUUGGGGUCCAUAGGACUUCAGUGACGCAGCUAACGCAUUAAGCACCCCGCCUGGGGAGUACGGCCGCAAGG
This 449-nucleotide ribosomal RNA is filed under the name bacterium Fuku2-ISO-158. Its description in RNAcentral is "bacterial SSU rRNA". It matches the Rfam family "Bacterial small subunit ribosomal RNA", at positions 427 to 893 of the family's 1533-position model. The record is from RNAcentral.